RNAcentral lists this ribosomal RNA (547 nucleotides) under uncultured bacterium. RNAcentral's name for it is "bacterial SSU rRNA". It matches the Rfam family "Bacterial small subunit ribosomal RNA", at positions 777 to 1314 of the family's 1533-position model. The record is from RNAcentral.
AAUAGAUACCCCGGUAGUCCACGCCGUAAACGAUGAGUGCUAAGUGUUAGAGGGGUUUCCGCCCUUUAGUGCUGCAGCAAACGCAUUAAGCACUCCGCCUGGGGGAGUACGGUCGCAAGACUGAAACUCAAAAGGAAUUGACGGGGGGCCCGCACAAGCGGUGGAGCAUGUGGUUUAAUUCGAAGCAACGCGAAGAACCUUACCAGGUCUUGACAUCCUUAUGCCAUCCCUAGAGAUAGGGCUUUCCCCUUUGGGGGACAUAAGUGACAGGUGGUGCAUGGUUGUCGUCAGCUCGUGUCGUGAGAUGUUGGGGUUAAGUCCCGCAACGAGCGCAACCCUUGAUCUUAGUUGCCAGCAUUAAGUUGGGGCACUCUAAGGUGACUGCCGGUGACAAACCGGAGGAAGGUGGGGAUGACGUCAAAUCAUCAUGCCCCUUAUGACCUGGGCUACACACGUGCUACAAUGGAUGGUACAAAGGGCAGCGAAACCGCGAGGUUAAGCCAAUCCCAUAAAACCAUUCUCAGUUCGGAUUGCAGGCUGCUAACCG